Molecule: ribosomal RNA, 111 nt
Filed under: Brassica napus (rape)
Lineage: Eukaryota; Viridiplantae; Streptophyta; Magnoliopsida; Brassicales; Brassicaceae
Source: RNAcentral
UUUAAUGUACAACACUAAUGCACCGGAUCCCAUCAGAACUCCACAGUUAAGCAUGUUUGGACGAGAGUAGUACUAGGAUGGGUGACCUCCCGGGAAGUCCUCGUGUUGCAC